UAAGGAAUAUUGGUCAAUGGACGCAAGUCUGAACCAGCCAUGCCGCGUGAAGGAUGAAGGUCCUCUGGAUUGUAAACUUCUUUUAUCUGGGACGAAAAAAGGGUAUUCUUACUCUCUUGACGGUACCAGAGGAAUAAGCACCGGCUAACUCCGUGCCAGCAGCCGCGGUAAUACGGAGGGUGCAAGCGUUAUCCGGAUUCACUGGGUUUAAAGGGUGCGUAGGUGGGCAGGUAAGUCAGUGGUGAAAUCUUCGAGCUUAACUCGGAAACUGCCAUUGAUACUAUCUGUCUUGAAUAUCCUGGAGGUGAGCGGAAUAUGUCAUGUAGCGGUGAAAUGCUUAGAUAUGACAUAGAACACCAAUUGCGAAGGCAGCUCACUACGGGAU
This 385-nucleotide ribosomal RNA is filed under the name uncultured bacterium. RNAcentral describes it as "bacterial SSU rRNA". It matches the Rfam family "Bacterial small subunit ribosomal RNA", at positions 355 to 737 of the family's 1533-position model. The record is from RNAcentral.